AAGCCAUUUCCCUAUUAAAAGAAUAGGAAAAUAGCACCAUCAUUUUUCCGCUGCAACUAAGAAUAAUUACUGAGCAGAAAUCUAGGCAUAUUGUCCUGGGUUUGUAGCCAAACUCCAUUGUAUAUUAUUCUGAGCCACAUGUUAGCACAACGGACUACACAGCCAUAAAUCCAUUUAAAGUUGUUCCACAUUGAUAGCGCAUAUAUAUGAAAAUUAAGAUUGCACUUAUCUGGCUGCUGAUAUGAUUGGAAAUCUUUUCUUCUUCCAUUUCAGAAUUCAAAGAAAUAAUGCAAUAGUCUUGCGGUAAUUCCACUGGGUAGAAAGGCGUCAUUAUUUCAGACACAAACAAAUAAAACCCUUAUGCUGUCAUAUUAAAAAAAACCAUCAUCAUUCGCCCUGCAAAAGGGACAGUCGUCUUCUCCUAAGGUUCCUCCAGUUGACUAUUUGUCUAAAAAUGAGUAAAAAUGUUUAUAAAGGCAGUUGUAUGUUACUUCCAAAGGCACCAGUGUUCAAUCUCCACGUUGUUCUCACGGUGCACACGUUUUAUUAGUCGCUUACUUACAGAUGCAAAUGCUAGCUUGAAUUUGACAGUCCUUACGAGUAUCCAUUUCCUUUAUUUAAUUGAACUUUAUGUUCAGAAAAGAUACAGCAUUUACAUUUCAAAUCCUAUCAUACUACUUAAUCCAUUUUUCUGGUGCUAGAUUUGCAUUUAAUUCAGGAUUUGAAUUAGGCUCAACUUCAUUGUUCCAAGUAAUAGAGUUUAUUAGGAUGGAUAUGCACAAUAUUGCACAUAAUGAAAAUGUGAGAAACAGAAAGCUAAAUUGCAAAGCCAACAAUGGAGCAAAAAAGACCAGCAAUUUUGGAUGACUCCAUUUUGUGAGGCCAACGUGUCUCCAAGGCCUAGUUUUCAAAAAGCGUCACUAGUGCUGAGAAGAUCUGUCAUAAUUUCUUACUAAUCAGACUAAGUCUGGAAAACACACCCUGUAGAUUUACAGAACUGAUGUCAAACUCCUUGACUAAUUGAAAAGAAAAUUAAAUUCUUCCAUUCUCAGAAAUGUUACGGCUUUCUUUUCAUAUUUGCUACACUACAAUAAGACAAACUGUCCUAAAACUUAAGAUCAGUACCUUAAGGAAACACCUCUCACAUUAAUACAACUCUAAUAAAUCUUAGGAGGCUGCCUUCUCAAUUGCUUACAUGUAUGAGAGAUUUUUGCUAUUUGGUGUUAAAAAUAGGCUUCAUAAAGUAGGAAGAGGAAGAAAAAAAUCUUAAAAAAUUAUCUGGAAAUUGAUUCCUUUGUUUAGCAUAAAAUGAGACUAAAAAAUGAAACGAGUGCGCUUUUAAGCUAUUCUUAAACAAGAGGAUGUAUUUUAAGAAAAAACUAAAUAACCAGCAGAUGUGGAUCAGUAUUUCUGUAAAUAAAAAUUAACUUCUUAUUUCUAGGUACAUGGCUUAAGAUUGAAACGAAUUUCCAGCUACCUGUCUUAUGCAUCACUAAAAUGUAAAAGAUUAUACGACUGCGUCCUUCCCUUGUUGUCCAGAACUAAACAAUCUGCAGGACACUGGUUGACUGCAGAGACUAACAGAGCAUUGAAACAGCUUUGCAGUGAGGUCAUACACACGUCAUACACCUCAGCUCACCCGAGCGCGUCCUGAUGUGCGAGGAGAGCAGAGCGGAGAGAAUGGGGGAAGAGCGAGCCCAGGGAUCUGGAUCUUUGGCCCUGGCUGGUGACCUCAAUGCAAAGCUACUGUCUGGAGGGAAGAGAGACUUGGACAAAGAAUCUACGUUAAAUGUGUUCAAAAAUGCUGCUGCUGAUCGGCAGUUUGACCUUGAAGCUGCCAUUAAAAAUGUUGAGAAAAUGUCCAAUGAGCUGAAGAAACUAAACGUGGAAAGCCAGCUGCUGCUUUGUGACCUUAUUUUGAAUUUCAGCCAUCCUGUGAAGGCCAAAGAUUUAAGAGAAGCUGAAGAAAAAACUUGGAGUUUGACAGAUUAAGUAGUAACAUCCAGUUUUACGCAUCGUAUUCUAUUAAUACUGCUUCCGUUUGAACCGUAAAAUGAUAGCAUGGUUUCCUGCAGUUAGGCUAUUUUUAUUUUAAACUGAAAAUGUGGAGUGGAAAAAUGCUAUAGGUAGGUUAUUGAUUUUGAGAGGUUUUUUUUAACCCAAAUUUCCCAAAUUAAGCCCACUAGAGCUGGAAAGACUGAUAACGUUAACUAGAAAGGUCAGGAAAACGGGCAUGAAGUUUUUCACGUUGGUUGUCUCCUUUUAAACAAAGACAUAUUGGAACAGUAACAAAAUAAUUUUAAAUUAUGUCAAGUCAUUGCUCUUUUACCUUAGUUAUGCUCUGGAAAAUGGGAUAAGAAACAGUCAGUAAAGGAGGAACUGCAACUUGUCAUUUGAUCUUCUUCCUCAUUCUAAAAAUGUUGCUGAGGAAGGGGCCAAAGAGCAGAUUACUUCUGGAAAACCAAAAGUACUUUCGUUCUAGUUUCUGUAGUGACUUUCUAACGCGCCUUGCUAGAAAAGAAAGAAAGAGUGAGACAUCUCAAUACUCUGUCCUGAAAUCUUCUUGGCCCCAAAUUUGAGUAGCCAAUGUUUUCCUGUGGUUCAUUACAUUUAAUAUUCAAUCACACUUUACUUCUGCACGUGUUUGAAUGUUGAGUUGUGUUUUCCUUCAUAUGCAAAAUAUACUUAUCUGAAUAAUCAAAUCAAAAUUUACUGUGCUGAAAAAAAAUAUGCAACGUUGUCAUUCAUUAUGCUGGUUUGUAUUUUAUUGCUGUUUCACUAAUCAGAUGAUUUAAAACAAAUAAAGCACAAUUCCAUAGGAGGUAUUUCUGGGUUGUCAGGCUUUUCAAGGCAGUGCAAUGGAAUUACAAGCUCCAGCUCGCAGGUGAUAUGGGGAAUUUUGCUCUUCAUUCUAGCGUUUUUUUUAAAAACAUACAUUUUAACUGACUUUCCUUUCAGAAGAUUAGUAGUGAGCUCUUACAAAAUAUUGGGCUAGAAACUGGUUUUGUCAGCUGAAUAAUUUUUAAAAUUUUCUUUUUCUUUUUUCUUUUGACUCAUACUUGCAUGGAAAUGAAAUUUGCUAACUUUGAAUUCCAGCUCCUGGCUAAAUAUAUUAGAAAGGAAGAUAAUAUUUACAAAACAUAUAUAUUAAAGUAAAACCGUUCUGAUUAUCUUAUCUGAGAAGCUGUACAGACUACAUGGAAGAUCGUUCUCUGCUUUGAAUGCUUCAAGUGGUGUACACACAAAUGGCUUUGAAGGAGAAAAAGCAUGACAAAAUCUAACAUAAUUAUCAAACCAAGAUCUUGUCAGAAAACAAAAGUCAAUAGAAAAC
Chroicocephalus ridibundus (black-headed gull) is the source of this 3331-nucleotide RNA transcript. It is a transcript of the gene named chromosome 11 C5orf58 homolog, with no coding region annotated. Lineage: Eukaryota; Metazoa; Chordata; Aves; Charadriiformes; Laridae. The record is from RefSeq and is a predicted model, not a curated record. The transcript is spliced from 6 exons.